RNAcentral lists this ribosomal RNA (444 nucleotides) under uncultured endophytic bacterium. Its description in RNAcentral is "bacterial SSU rRNA". It matches the Rfam family "Bacterial small subunit ribosomal RNA", at positions 8 to 450 of the family's 1533-position model. The record is from RNAcentral.
AGAGUUUGAUCCUGGCUCAGAUUGAACGCUGGCGGCAGGCCUAACACAUGCAAGUCGGACGGUAGCACAGAGAGCUUGCUCUUGGGUGACGAGUGGCGGACGGGUGAGUAAUGUCUGGGGAUCUGCCCGAUAGAGGGGGAUAACCACUGGAAACGGUGGCUAAUACCGCAUAACGUCGCAAGACCAAAGAGGGGGACCUUCGGGCCUCUCACUAUCGGAUGAACCCAGAUGGGAUUAGCUAGUAGGCGGGGUAAUGGCCCACCUAGGCGACGAUCCCUAGCUGGUCUGAGAGGAUGACCAGCCACACUGGAACUGAGACACGGUCCAGACUCCUACGGGAGGCAGCAGUGGGGAAUAUUGCACAAUGGGCGCAAGCCUGAUCCAGCCAUGCCGCGUGUAUGAAGAAGGUCUUCGGAUUGUAAAGCACUUUCAGCGGGGAGGAAG